Molecule: long non-coding RNA, 2739 nt
Organism: Protopterus annectens (West African lungfish)
Lineage: Eukaryota; Metazoa; Chordata; Ceratodontiformes; Protopteridae
Exons: 4
Source: RefSeq, a predicted model, not a curated record
UGGGUAAACACAGAGUUGCGUUUAGAAGAUGCGCAUCCUCUUUUGUUAGUUAUGAACUUCUUAGACUAAAACUAUCGUGUGGCUCUGGAGACGACCGACACAUCAAAUGAGUAUUGUCUCAGCAGUAGUUCAUUGCAGUUUGUUUGUAAGUUACGUCUGUAGGACACUAACAACAAGAACAGGUGCAAUGCCAGUGUCCCUUACAGGGAAACAAUGAAGUGGACUUACAGUUGCGCUCCAGACAAGGGGUAGGAGGGAGUGUCCCUCUUCUCAACAACAAUAAAAAGUUAAGUAACAGCACUGAAAUUAGUAACCCUGCAUUUGGUCGUUAAAGCUUUAGAAGAAGCCCAUCUCCUUUCUGAUGGAAUGCCCGGACCCCAGUUUGCCCGCCGUUGUGCUUUCUUUGUUUUUAUUUUGCUCCACACAAAGGGCGGGACUGCCAGCCCUACUAAGCAAGGCGCGGUCACCAGAAUCCCUUCACACGUGUAGACAAAGGGAGCGCACAACAAAGCAGCAGCUGCAGCAGCCCUGCUGGCCACAGGCGUUUGGAAGUGGGAUCGAGGCACCCAGAAAGCAAUCAGUCCCACUCUGAGGUUGCAGAAGUCUCCACUUAACGGUUUAAAAGCGGGGUAAGCGAGCCUAGAUGUGGUGGGACAGGAGCGACAAGAGUAAAGUUGUAAACUUGUGAGGUGCACUGGUGCACUCCCUGUUGCUGUUCCAAUUUGGUGCGUCAGCUCUAAGUUUCAUCACAAAGCGAUGCGGAUUACUCCUUUGUUCUUGGAGAACCUUUGAUAGACACACCGAGUGGGAGAGUGUUUGGGACAGGGUCCGAGACUGUUUAACCUGCUAUCCAAAGUAAAGCUCCAUAGAACAAAGACGUACAUGGGUGCAAGGUGGGAGUACUUCAGUUGUGGUGAGUGCAUGAUCCUAAGAAACUUUGAAAAGUGGCAAAGUUAGGUGUCUUUAGCGUGGCAGCAGUUUACCACUUGGGCUGGUAAAAAAAACAUACACUGAAGGUCCAGUUGCAAAGACCUCAGACCAAAAUGUGGAAUAAAAUAAAUAUAUCGACGGAGUCACAUUUAUCCAGAAUGGGGGAAACAGAAACAAAAACCUACCAUCACAAAGACACAACGGGUGUGACAGGAAAUCGCAGUUUACAACAGUUUUUAAAUGCUUGUUUUGAGUUGGUAUCUGCUUGUUUUACUCCUUUUUUGUCUCUUUGGAUGCCAUGGAAAAUGCUUUUUGCUUUGCCAUCAAAUUCUGCAAGAAUCCUCCUUUCAGCUCCUUUCUUUGGCUCGGAGGAUGCGGGCGCUGCUGUUGAACUGAUGGCUGUGCAACAGGUAGCUGGUGAGUUGGGACUGCUGCUGCUCUUUUGUUCUCCAGCUCGCGCCUUGACCGGGCUUUGUUCCAGCACAGAGAAGUGCAACUCACCCAACAACUCUUUUAUGAUGGAAUUCCAGAAUUAGCAAGGACUACGAUUUUGGAAUGCAUUGGUCUAAUUCUUGACAUAGUCAUCAGAUGUGGCAUGUAGAAGAAUAUGCUGAAUAAAAUCAGGAUUUCUUUCAUUCUAUGUGCACAUGAAGUGUUUCCAAAAGACAUAUAAAGCAUAGCUAAGAGACAAAAAAGAAUGAGUGCACUGCAGAAACAGCUGAGUAGAGGCCUUCCACUGGAAAUUUCUGGGGAAAAAAAGUGCUUCUGCAGUUGUUCAGCAUUUGCACUUUCAAUAGCAUUUAACUUUCAAGAAGACACCUGCAGCAAUGUUGUUUUUGUUGAAUGCUGCAAAGGAACCACUCUCAUGUCUUUGAAAGUGACACAGAGGGAGGACACCUUCUGUGCAAAUGAUCCUGGAGACACAAAUCAAGGUUAUGUUUAGAGGGAAUGAAGAUUUUUAGUUUCAUGGAUUAAUAGUACGCCACAUGGAGAUAUGAUAUUUUGCUUACCACUGUGUACCUCAAAUCUUAAAUUCUAAUCAAAGACGUCAUACAAAUUGCCUACAUUUUUAGAAGAAAGCAUAGCGAGCUUUACUGAGUUUCCAUACCACCACCAAAGAGUAACAGAUUAUCGAUCUGUCUGAAGCAUGGAGUCCUAAAGUGCAUCCUUGUGCAGAAAGGCAUAUUUUAGCCCUGAGAUACAUUUACAUAUAUGUAUCCCAAGUUGGAGUUUAACCUAAUAUCAUUUGAAACAAAGGAAAUUGUGAAAGUUAAAUCAUCAGGUUUCACUGAAUGGGAUACGGGAUUUCUUUCCUUCUUACAUUUCGUGCGUGUUGGAUACUUUAUAUGUAAGCCUUGCAUUUGGAAUUAUAACUUGUUAUCUAGGAAAUUAAUCCUUUCAGAUUUGCAUCAUGACUGCAAAGUAUAUUGAAACAAACUAUGCAGGUGAUCCUUUUGCCAUGGAUUAAGGACAGGAGAUACACUAAGAUUAUUUACUGUUCCAUUAAAUAAUGAUAUCCCUGUUUGUCAUCAUGUACAUACACGUGGAUCUUUAACAUUUUCAUUGAGUAUCACAAGCUCAGAUGGACCCUUGGUUUCACAUCUUAUCUGGAAGAUAACAACUUGGGAACUCAGUAGGCGGGAUAAUCAAUACUACAUUGUCAUUACGGGAAUGUAAAUGUAAAUAUCUAUUGUGAGAAAAGAGCCAAAAGUCAUCUGAUACUCUGACAUCUAAGGUACUUCUUACAAUAUUGUCGUAUCCCUGAUUUCAGACAGCAGUCAUGGUACUCCAUGCACUACAUGUAUUUAA